RNAcentral lists this ribosomal RNA (496 nucleotides) under uncultured bacterium. Its description in RNAcentral is "partial 16S ribosomal RNA". It matches the Rfam family "Bacterial small subunit ribosomal RNA", at positions 28 to 507 of the family's 1533-position model. The record is from RNAcentral.
GAUGAACGCUGGCGGCGUGCCUAAUACAUGCAAGUCGAGCGAACGGACGAGAAGCUUGCUUCUCUGAUGUAGCGGCGGACGGGUGAGUAACACGUGGAUAACCUACCUAUAAGACUGGGAUAACUUCGGGAAACCGUAGCUAAUACCGGAUAAUAUUUUGAACCGCAUGGUUCAAAAGUGAAAGACGGUCUUGCUGUCACUUAUAGAUGGAUCCGCGCUGCAUUAGCUAGUUGGUAAGGUAACGGCUUACCAAGGCAACGAUGCAUAGCCGACCUGAGAGGGUGAUCGGCCACACUGGAACUGAGACACGGUCCAGACUCCUACGGGAGGCAGCAGUAGGGAAUCUUCCGCAAUGGGCGAAAGCCUGACGGAGCAACGCCGCGUGAGUGAUGAAGGUCUUCGGAUCGUAAAACUCUGUUAUUAGGGAAGAACAUAUGUGUAAGUAACUGUGCACAUCUUGACGGUACCUAAUCAGAAAGCCACGGCUAACUACGUG